GCCGAAAUAGCUCAAUUGGUAGAGCAACUGACUUGUAAUCAGUAGGUUGCGGGUUCAAGUCCUGCUUUCGGCACCA
This 76-nucleotide transfer RNA is filed under the name Acinetobacter baumannii. Its description in RNAcentral is "tRNA-Thr". It matches the Rfam family "tRNA". Rfam says of the family: Transfer RNA (tRNA) molecules are approximately 80 nucleotides in length. Their secondary structure includes four short double-helical elements and three loops (D, anti-codon, and T loops). Further hydrogen bonds mediate the characteristic L-shaped molecular structure. tRNAs have two regions of fundamental functional importance: the anti-codon, which is responsible for specific mRNA codon recognition, and the 3' end, to which the tRNAs corresponding amino acid is attached (by aminoacyl-tRNA synthetases). tRNAs cope with the degeneracy of the genetic code in two manners: having more than one tRNA (with a specific anti-codon) for a particular amino acid; and 'wobble' base-pairing, i.e. permitting non-standard base-pairing at the 3rd anti-codon position. RNAcentral also lists the same sequence under 11 other names. The record is from RNAcentral. Lineage: Bacteria; Pseudomonadati; Pseudomonadota; Gammaproteobacteria; Moraxellales; Moraxellaceae.